CACCGGCGGCUCGAGUGGUGGCCACUUUUAUUGGGUCUAAAGCGUCCGUAGCCGGCUUGGCAAGUCCCCUGGGAAAUCUGGCGGCUUAACCGUCAGGCGUCCAGAGGAUACUGCCAGGCUUGGGACCGGGAGAGGUGAGAGGUACCUCAGGGGUAGGGGUGAAAUCUUGUGAUCCCUGAGGGACCACCAGUGGCGAAGGCGUCUCACUAGAACGGGUCCGACGGUCAGGGACGAAAGCUGGGGGUACGAACCGG
RNAcentral lists this ribosomal RNA (254 nucleotides) under uncultured microorganism. Its description in RNAcentral is "partial 16S ribosomal RNA". It matches the Rfam family "Archaeal small subunit ribosomal RNA", at positions 474 to 727 of the family's 1478-position model. The record is from RNAcentral.